CCUACGGGAGGCAGCAGUGAGGAAUAUUGGUCAAUGGGCGCAAGCCUGAACCAGCCAAGCCGCGUGCAGGAUGACGGCUCUACGGGUUGUAAACUGCUUUUAUACGGGAAUAACGCGCCUUACGUGUAGGGCUUUGCAUGUACCGUAUGAAUAAGGACCGGCUAAUUCCGUGCCAGCAGCCGCGGUAAUACGGAAGGUCCGAGCGUUAUCCGGAUUUAUUGGGUUUAAAGGGAGCGUAGGCCGCAUGUCAAGCGUGCUGUGAAAUGUCCGGGCUCAACCCGGGCCUUGCAGCGCGAACUGUCGGGCUUGAGUGCGCGGAAGGCAGGCGGAAUUCGUGGUGUAGCGGUGAAAUGCGUAGAUAUGACGAAGAACACCGAUUGCGAAGGCAGCUUGCUGCAGCGGAACUGACGCUGAUGCUCGAAAGCGCGGGUAGCGAACAGGAUUAGAUACCCCUGUAGUC
Molecule: ribosomal RNA, 460 nt
Filed under: uncultured bacterium
Lineage: Bacteria
Description: partial 16S ribosomal RNA
Rfam family: Bacterial small subunit ribosomal RNA
Source: RNAcentral